AUUGAACGCUGGCGGCAUGCCUAACACAUGCAAGUCGAACGGCAGCGCGGGCUUCGGCCUGGCGGCGAGUGGCGGACGGGUGAGGAAUACAUAGGAAUCUGCCCAGUCGUGGGGGAUAACCCGGGGAAACCCGGACUAAUACCGCAUACGACGGUGACGUGAAAGCAGGGGACCUUCGGGCCUUGCGCGAUUGGAUGAGCCUAUGUCGGAUUAGCUAGUUGGCGGGGUAAAGGCCCACCAAGGCGACGAUCCGUAGCUGGUCUGAGAGGAUGAUCAGCCACACUGGGACUGAGACACGGCCCAGACUCCUACGGGAGGCAGCAGUGGGGAAUAUUGGACAAUGGGCGCAAGCCUGAUCCAGCAAUGCCGCGU
RNAcentral lists this ribosomal RNA (372 nucleotides) under uncultured bacterium. Its description in RNAcentral is "bacterial SSU rRNA". It matches the Rfam family "Bacterial small subunit ribosomal RNA", at positions 29 to 402 of the family's 1533-position model. The record is from RNAcentral.